CCCUGGGGAUAACAGGCUUAUCUCCCCCAAGAGUCCACAUCGACGGGGAGGUUUGGCACCUCGAUGUCGGCUCAUCACAUCCUGGGGCUGUAGUAGGUCCCAAGGGUUGGGCUGUUCGCCCAUUAAAGUGGUACGCGAGCUGGGUUCAGAACGUCGUGAGACAGUUCGGUCCCUAUCCGUCGCAGGCGUAGGAAAUUUGAGAAGACCUGUCCUUAGUACGAGAGGACCGGGAUGGACGUACCUCUGGUGUACCAGUUGUCCUGCCAAGGGCAUGGCUGGGUAGCUAUGUACGGAAUGGAUAAGCGCUGAAAGCAUCUAAGCGCGAAGCCAACUUCAAGAUAAGAUUUCCCACCGCAAGGGUAAGACCCCAGAAAGACUAUCUGGUUGAUAGGUCGAAGGUGUAAGUGCAGUAAUGUAUUUAGCUUAUCGAUACUAAUAGGUCGAGGACUUGACCAAU
RNAcentral lists this ribosomal RNA (457 nucleotides) under Clostridioides difficile. RNAcentral describes it as "partial 23S ribosomal RNA". It matches the Rfam family "Bacterial large subunit ribosomal RNA", at positions 2466 to 2925 of the family's 2925-position model. Lineage: Bacteria; Bacillati; Bacillota; Clostridia; Peptostreptococcales; Peptostreptococcaceae. The record is from RNAcentral.